Molecule: long non-coding RNA, 399 nt
Filed under: Lathyrus oleraceus (garden pea)
Lineage: Eukaryota; Viridiplantae; Streptophyta; Magnoliopsida; Fabales; Fabaceae
Description: Pisum sativum (pea) long non-coding RNA (PSAT_LNC030275)
Source: RNAcentral
UCAAACCAAAACAAACUCAAAACUUACACAAUCAUGAAAAAUCAUAACGGAAAAGUAUACCGUGUCCGUCGGAGAUAGGGGAUCUCGUCGGUGAGUCGAAUCCGUUUGUGGUGGUGAAAGGUGGUUUGGUGUGUUAUUGGUGAAUGGUAGAGGUCGUUGAAGAGAUGCGUGGAUUUUGUUUUGUGAAGAUGAGAAAUGAGAGAUAUCACUUGUUUUGGAAAGUUGUUGAUUUGGUGUAGUAUUGAAUGAGGUACUUUGAAAUUAUGAAGAAGAAAACUUGUUUUUCUUUUUUGUUUCUAUCUUUAUCUUAGUAACAAGGAAAUGUAAUAUAUGGUAAUGGUAAAAUAUUCUACUGUAGUGUGAUUUCAAUAAGGAUCUACUUUUUCAAAUCAAUUUUUU